This 228-nucleotide ribosomal RNA is filed under the name uncultured bacterium. RNAcentral describes it as "partial 16S ribosomal RNA". It matches the Rfam family "Bacterial small subunit ribosomal RNA", at positions 355 to 574 of the family's 1533-position model. The record is from RNAcentral.
UAGGGAAUCUUCGGCAAUGGGGGCAACCCUGACCGAGCAACGCCGCGUGAGUGAAGAAGGUUUUCGGAUCGUAAAGCUCUGUUGUAAGUCAAGAACGGGUGUGAGAGUGGAAAAGUUCACACUGUGACGGUAGCUUACCAGAAAGGGACGGCUAACUACGUGCCAGCAGCCGCGGUAAUACGUAGGUCCCGAGCGUUGUCCGGAUUAUUGGGCGUAAAGCGAGCGCAG